RNAcentral lists this ribosomal RNA (253 nucleotides) under uncultured bacterium. RNAcentral describes it as "partial 16S ribosomal RNA". It matches the Rfam family "Bacterial small subunit ribosomal RNA", at positions 524 to 776 of the family's 1533-position model. The record is from RNAcentral.
UACGUAGGGUGCGAGCGUUAAUCGGAAUUACUGGGCGUAAAGCGUGCGCAGGCGGUUCGUUGUGUCGGCGGUGAAAACCCCGGGCUCAACCUGGGAAUGGCCGUUGAAACUGGCGAACUGGAGUGUGGCAGAGGGGGGUGGAAUUCCGCGUGUAGCAGUGAAAUGCGUAGAGAUGCGGAGGAACACCGAUGGCGAAGGCAGCCCCCUGGGCUGACACUGACGCUCAGGCACGAAAGCGUGGGGAGCAAACAGG